CAGGCUCAGUAUGAUAAUGAUUGGAUAAUUCCCUUGAAAUUGAUAUUUCGGUUGCAUAUGCAAGUGUAUUUUUUAAAUGCUGAUCUUUCCCAUGUCGCUCUGAAUUAUGCAGAAGAUUUUUUUAAUGAUGGCUACCGAUAAAAAAGGAAACAGAGUUACUGAAAUGAUUUGUGUUGGAUUCAGCCAUUUCCACUGGUACUGCCAAUCUCAUGAUGUUGCCAGUUUUCAUCGGCUCCUUUUUUUAAGAGUUAUUUUCUGAGAAGGGAGCUUGUUCAAAAAUCUGAGUUUCGGCAACCAUUUCCACUCGAUUUCUCCGAAUCUUGCCUUCAAUGGGAAGUCAUUGAAAGAACUGGAAAAAUGGCUUCAUUAAUAUUUGACUCAAGAAAUGGUAUCCUGUGCCUAUGCAACUGUCUAUGGUGGCUUAGCCUAUGUGGCAAUAGCCAUUCUAUAAUUAGUUGCCUCUUUGUGUAGUGUUUCCUUAUGUGGAGAAAAAGAGGUCCCUGGGACAGAGACAAAAAUAAGCUUACUUUCUGGUGGCCGCCAAUCAGGAUACUUCAAUUUGAAUUUCGUCAGAUGAUAAAAUUUCCACCUAGAACACUGUGGAAUUUUGAUAAAGUUCACCUUUUCUAGCAGUGCCAAAGGACAAACCAAAUCAUGGCAUGGUUAUCAGGUUGAAAGGGCUCAUACCUAUAAAAAAAAAUUAUCUUUUCACAGCAAAUUUUACAGAAACAGGAUUUUAUUGGCUAUCAGAAGAUGCUUUUCUAUGGGAAAACCUCCUUAGAGAGACAAAGUUCUUUAGAAUUGAUGGUGUAGGUUGCAGAUGCGGCUCGGAUCCCGCGUUGCUGUGGCUUUGGCAUAGGCUGGCAGCUACAGCUCCGAUUAGACCCCUAGCCUGGGAAACUCCAUGGUAUAACAGCAGUUCUCUGCAUUAGCAUUGACAACCUUUCCUUGUGUUUAGGCUGGUGAAGCAAGUUUGGAGUGAAAAAUGAUUGAUUUGUGUAAAGGUUCAUGUCCACCUAUAAAAAAAGAGUGGUGAAAGUGAAGCAAAAUACUAAGAGGUUAAAAUCGGUCGUUUUAAAUAAUAUACACAUUCAAAUACAUGGUAAUUGUCCGGAUAUAACCAGAUACAACCUCACUUUUCAAAAUAAGGACUCUGAGACUUCGGAAAUCCCCAGGUUCCAAACAGUUUUCUUUGAAUGCUCCCGGAGAGUAGAAAAAGGUUUCUCUUACUGCGUUUUGGCUUAGGCCUCAUCCUUACUUACCAUGUGGUUUGAGUUUUAUGAGUGAGUUUGGUGAUCAAAUUGCUAAAACGAAACACCUCUUUUGUUUUAUUGUUUUCAUUAAAUAAGACAUCAGAACAGUGCACAUACAAGGCAAUUUCAACAUUACCUGGAGGUUAAGGUGAAUCCCUUGCCGGAAGUAAGAAAAAGCUUGUAAGCUAAAUAUGGCUACCCAAGAAAUGAAGAAAAAAAAAUUCCCAUGAUUUAUGUAGGAGAAGGUUAUCCAAGAUAAUUCACUCUAACAAAGGACAGAAUUCACAAUUCAUUAUGUUCCAAAUGUAAAUGAAAAUGAAAAAAAAAAAUGGCACCUGCAUAUUCAAGAUUAACUCAUUAAAUCUUCCUUGUGUGGGAAACUAGAGAGCUAACUCUAGAAUGUAAACAGUUAAUCCAUCACUCCUUUAACAGUUCAUUAUUGAGCAGCUUAUAUAUCAGUUAUUUAAAAGCAUUUCUGAAGCAACUGGCAUUAAGCCUUCAGAAAGAUGUGGCCCCUGCCUUCAAGGAACUUUAUUAUGCAAUCACUAAUAUUUUCAAAACAAAGCCAGUUGUUUUUAAGAAGGUAUACAAUACCACAUGUGUUUCACAUCUCUUUGUGUUUAUAUAUGGUAUUCUCUUUUUUUUUUUCAGAUCAAGUGUAUAGUCAAAAUAAGAUAUGAAAACAUAUUAAAGUGGAUGUCUAAGUAUAAAAUAUGUUUCUGUGUAAACCUCUAUAUGUACUCAUAGGAUAUGUACUGCUGUCUAUGUAAAUCAGUAAAAGGAUAACCCAUUUUGCCAUGUGGAACUUGAACAGUAUGGCUUGGGGUUUGGAUUCAUUGAAAACCCUUUGAUAUUUGGGUCAAUUACAUUGUCGCCAAAUGUGUGUCAUCUGGGAAAAACUAUAUGAUUAUAUUUCCCUUUAAAUAUUACAAAGUUUCAAGUUUAAGGGGAAAACCUCUACAGAAAUAUCGUUGGCUGUAUCUUGACCAGCCCUAUCUGAAAAUCUUUUUGAAGUUUUCCGUGGUUCCCAAAUAUGACUGGGUUUGCCCACCCUAAAAGCAUCCGCAUUUACACAUGUACACACUCACAUACAGUAUACAUACUGUAUAUAAUAUAUAUGAAAAUGUUUAGUAUGCACUUCCUUUGUUUGGAAUUCCUUCGGUUAACAUUUAUAGUGUAGCAAUUUGUGUAAAGUGCACUGUGAUUAUAACAAAAAAAGAAAGCACAGUAAAGUCACAGGUCUUGUUAUCUUGCACUAAAAAUGUGUUUACGUAUUUAGCAAUUGUAUGUUUACUUUCUUGCUCUUUUCAAGAAAUUGAAACAAAUAGCUAUUGAGAAACUGAUAUCAAAUAAUAUGUUUUUUAGUGGAUAAUGGCACUACGUUUUUAAAAGACAGGGUUUUUAAAAGAAACCAUUUAACAUCCAUUCCAGCGUAACAUGUUUACCGUAUCUAAAAAUCUGAAUGUCAUAUUGCAUUUUUUCAUAACUCAUUAAAAAUGUCAGGUAUGUGCCUGAAAAGUUGUGCAAAUAAGCAUUAGAUAACAGAUUUCUCUAUUCACGUGUUGUUAGCCAUUUCUAUAUACAUAAUAAUAUAAACACUGAUGUUUUAAUUUCUUUUAAUUUUUGUACUUGAUUUUUUUAGGUAAUAUGUAAUUAUAAAUGUACUUUGAUACUACUGAAAGUAACCAGAUGUUGUUUGAAAACAGAUUGUUUUCUUUAGUGCAUUGGCGAUAUUUUGCAAUACUUUUGUGCUUAUUUAUUUGUGCUCCCGUGUAAUUAUAAUAAAAGCAAUAGUUUAAAG
RNAcentral lists this long non-coding RNA (3054 nucleotides) under Sus scrofa (pig). Its description in RNAcentral is "lncRNA (ENSSSCG00065005781.1)". Lineage: Eukaryota; Metazoa; Chordata; Mammalia; Artiodactyla; Suidae. The record is from RNAcentral.